Molecule: ribosomal RNA, 1176 nt
Filed under: Acinetobacter sp.
Lineage: Bacteria; Pseudomonadati; Pseudomonadota; Gammaproteobacteria; Moraxellales; Moraxellaceae
Description: bacterial SSU rRNA
Rfam family: Bacterial small subunit ribosomal RNA
Source: RNAcentral
GCUUAACACAUGCAAGUCGAAGCGGGGAUUGUUGCUUCGGUGACAUUCCUAGCGGCGGACGGGUGAGUAAUGCUUAGGAAUCUGCCUAUUAGUGGGGGACAACAUUCCGAAAGGAAUGCUAAUACCGCAUACGCCCUACGGGGGAAAGCAGGGGAUCUUCGGACCUUGCGCUAAUAGAUGAGCCUAAGUCGGAUUAGCUAGUUGGUGGGGUAAAGGCCUACCAAGGCGACGAUCUGUAGCGGGUCUGAGAGGAUGAUCCGCCACACUGGGACUGAGACACGGCCCAGACUCCUACGGGAGGCAGCAGUGGGGAAUAUUGGACAAUGGGGGGAACCCUGAUCCAGCCAUGCCGCGUGUGUGAAGAAGGCCUUUUGGUUGUAAAGCACUUUAAGCGGGGAGGAGGCUCUUGAGGAUAAUACCCUUGAAGAGUGGACGUUACCCGCAGAAUAAGCACCGGCUAACUCUGUGCCAGCAGCCGCGGUAAUACAGAGGGUGCGAGCGUUAAUCGGAUUUACUGGGCGUAAAGCGUGCGUAGGCGGCUUUUUAAGUCGGAUGUGAAAUCCCCGAGCUUAACUUGGGAAUUGCAUUCGAUACUGGGAAGCUAGAGUAUGGGAGAGGAUGGUAGAAUUCCAGGUGUAGCGGUGAAAUGCGUAGAGAUCUGGAGGAAUACCGAUGGCGAAGGCAGCCAUCUGGCCUAAUACUGACGCUGAGGUACGAAAGCAUGGGGAGCAAACAGGAUUAGAUACCCUGGUAGUCCAUGCCGUAAACGAUGUCUACUAGCCGUUGGGUCCUUUGAGGACUUAGUGGCGCAGCUAACGCGAUAAGUAGACCGCCUGGGGAGUACGGUCGCAAGACUAAAACUCAAAUGAAUUGACGGGGGCCCGCACAAGCGGUGGAGCAUGUGGUUUAAUUCGAUGCAACGCGAAGAACCUUACCUGGCCUUGACAUACUAGAAACUUUCCAGAGAUGGAUUGGUGCCUUCGGGAAUCUAGAUACAGGUGCUGCAUGGCUGUCGUCAGCUCGUGUCGUGAGAUGUUGGGUUAAGUCCCGCAACGAGCGCAACCCUUUUCCUUACUUGCCAGCAUUUCGGAUGGGAACUUUAAGGAUACUGCCAGUGACAAACUGGAGGAAGGCGGGGACGACGUCAAGUCAUCAUGGCCCUUACGGCCAGGGCUA